This 492-nucleotide ribosomal RNA is filed under the name uncultured bacterium. RNAcentral's name for it is "partial 16S ribosomal RNA". It matches the Rfam family "Bacterial small subunit ribosomal RNA", at positions 29 to 507 of the family's 1533-position model. The record is from RNAcentral.
AGUGAACGCUGGCGGUAGGCCUAACACAUGCAAGUCGAACGGCAGCACAGUAAGAGCUUGCUCGUACGGGUGGCGAGUGGCGGACGGGUGAGGAAUACAUCGGAAUCUACUUUUUCGUGGGGGAUAACGUAGGGAAACUUACGCUAAUACCGCAUACGACCUACGGGUGAAAGCAGGGGAUCUUCGGACCUUGCGCGAUUGAAUGAGCCGAUGUCGGAUUAGCUAGUUGGCGGGGUAAAGGCCCACCAAGGCGACGAUCCGUAGCUGGUCUGAGAGGAUGAUCAGCCACACUGGAACUGAGACACGGUCCAGACUUCUACGGGAGGCAGCAGUGGGGAAUAUUGGACAAUGGGCGCAAGCCUGAUCCAGCCAUACUGCGUGGGCGAAGAAGGCCUUCGGGUUGUAAAGCCCUUUUGUUGGGAAAGAAAAGCAGCAGGUUAAUACCCCGCUGUUCUGACGGUACCCAAAGAAUAAGCACCGGCUAACUUCGUG